UGGCACAUUUAGUGGAGGCCAUAUGGCUAGUUGCCAUUGAUCGACUUUAUUAUCCAGCAAUGGUUGGAUCCGACGCAUAUCCUCAACUAUGGCUUAGUAUAAAAUGAAUAAUAAUCUUGAUGAGUUUUCUUUUUGAUAUUUGCUUCUUAAAGAAUUCCCAUAUUACUUUAUAAACUUCUUAAGAGAAGGUUUCAUGUUACAUAACCAUGAAAAAAAGCAUUUAUGCUCUUACUUCAUUGGGUAAUCAACAUACUGGCCC
RNAcentral lists this long non-coding RNA (259 nucleotides) under Phoenix dactylifera (date palm). RNAcentral describes it as "long non-coding RNA (PDAC_LNC011479)". Lineage: Eukaryota; Viridiplantae; Streptophyta; Magnoliopsida; Arecales; Arecaceae. The record is from RNAcentral.